This is a long non-coding RNA of Coregonus clupeaformis (lake whitefish), 302 nucleotides long. RefSeq lists it as uncharacterized. The record is from RefSeq and is a predicted model, not a curated record. The transcript is spliced from 3 exons. Lineage: Eukaryota; Metazoa; Chordata; Actinopteri; Salmoniformes; Salmonidae.
AUUGGUUCCACCAGGUUAAUCAUAACCACCAUUGAUAAUGUAAUCAGUGCUCUGUGUGUGUUUGUUUGUGACCAACCAUUAUCUUUGAUGAGGGGCAAGGAGCUGAUCUACGCUGCUAUGCCCAUCAAUAGGGCUCUGGCAAAGACCUCACCUCCAGCCUCGCCUCUUGCCUGCUCACCAACGGUCUUGGAUGGGGAGGACAGAAUUAGAUGGACUGGAGAUGCAUUUUCCAGACUGAAGCCUCAGUUGUUUGAUGGGGAGACCAUAAUUGGAAACAUGUAUGGAGCCAGCACAUGGAGACU